Long non-coding RNA from Homo sapiens (human), 919 nucleotides. Ensembl annotates it as serpin family B member 9 pseudogene 1. Its record names the gene SERPINB9P1. The record is from Ensembl. NCBI's taxonomy places the organism in Eukaryota, Metazoa, Chordata, Mammalia, Primates, Hominidae.
GGGGGCGGCGUCCUUCACAGGGAGGGUGCAGCUGACCUCCCUCCCCUUGUGCAGACUGGAAAAGAAUGGCCCAGAUCCUCUGGACUCCUCAGAUGAGCGGAUUCAGAGAGAAGCUUUUGAGAGCGUGCUGGCGGAGACAUUUUUCACAAAAGAGCCCUUGCGGUGCUGGUGUCCGUGGCGUGCCUGGAUGGCCUCUGGAAGCUGUCAGUUGCAUUGCUGUCCCCCUGGCAAGCAUAGCCUCCUGCCUCCCUGUCACCCAACCUUGUCUAGUGGUCCCUCUGCCCUGCCUACCCUCCACCAUGAGCGCCCUCUCUGAAGCAAAUGGCUCCAGCCAUCAUCUUUUAAAGGAGCCAUACGAAGAAAACCCUUCAUGCAAUGUGCUUUUGUCUGUCCCAAGUGUCUCCUCUGCUCUGGCCAUGCUCUUCCUGGGAGUGGAAGGAAAUGUGGCUGCCCAAAUGGCCCAAGCAAGGAGACCUCCACUGCAUAAGGAGGAGGAAUUGUUUGUAGCCAUUAGAGUUGUUUGCCAGAAAUUUCUGGAUUUCCUCCCUUCCAGCACAUGGUAAGUGAUCUGGGUCCAUGUGAUCUGGGUCCACAUUGGUCUGGGUCCAUGUCCCCACCCAAAUCUCAUCUUGAAUUGUAAUCCAAACUUUAAUUCCCACGUGUUAGGGGAGGGACCUCCUGGGAGGUGAUUGAAUCAUAGUGUGGUUCCCCAUGCGGUUCUCAUGAUUGUAAGUUCUCAUGAGAUGUGAUGGUUUUGUGAGGGGCUUUUCCCCUUUUUGCUCUGCACUUCUCUCAUUCUCUUCCUGCUGCCAUGUGAAGAAGAAUGUGUUUGCUUCCCCUUCGGUCAUUAUUGUAAGUUUCCUGAGGCUUCCCCAGUCAUAUGAAACUGUGAGUCAAUUAAAUCUCUUUUCUUUAUAAA